CCUUCCCGAGCCCGGAUGCUCGGCCCGCUUUGAGGAAAGUCGAUUCUCGCGUCGUCCUCGUCAUUUUGGUUCGCUCGGCUCGCUAAUCCGGUGAGUUUAACUCACUAAACCUCGCUUAGAGGGUUAAUUAUGCUUUAGGUGUGCUUAGUUUAUGUUAAGUGUGAUUAGGUGGUUAGUUUGAUUUAUUUAAGUGUGGAUUAUAUUAAUGUGUUUAAUUAGCUUAAUUUGUGUUUAAUUUAAAGUUAAGAGGGUGUUUAUAUUAAUAUAAACCUUGAUGUGACAAAAAGGAAUUUACUUUUGAUUUAUUUAAAUAUAUCGAAAUUAUUGAAUAAUUAAAUAAUAUUUUAAUAUUCGAAAUUAUUAAAAUAUUAUUAUUUAAUUAUUUUCGGAAUAAAUUUAAUUAUUUAUUAAAUUCCGAAAAUUUUGGUCGGGACCCUAAAUUCUCAGAAUUUCGUGCCGGUCGCUACGGUACAUUCGGAUUUUUGAAAUUGAUGAUUGGAUAUUUUAAAUUGAGUAUGGAUCGUGAAAAGUAUGGAUAUUAUUAUUAUAUUAAUUUUCGGAAUAAAUUUAAUUAUUUAAUAAAUUCUAAAAAUUAUUUGGGAACCUUAUUCUCUCAGAAUUUUGUGCCGAUCGCUACUGUGCAUUUAGAAUUUGAUAUCGAUGAUUGGUUGUGGCGAAUUGAGUGUUGAUUGUGAUUAAUAUGGAUUCUUUAUAAAUUUCUAAGUGUGGAAAUUGAUGGGCGAUUGGCCGUGAUAUGCCACCUAUUAGAGGUCGCGCCCAGUGGGGCUGUGAUAUGCCACCUAUUAGAGGUCGCGCCCAGUGGGGCCGUGAUAUGCCACCUAUUAAAGGUCGCGCCCGAUGGGGCCGUGAUAUGCCACCUGAUAAAGGUCGCGCCCAGUGGGGCCGUUAUAUGCCACCUAUUAAAGGUCGCGCCCGAUGGGGCCGUGAUAUGCCACCUGAUAAAGGUCGCGCCCAGUGGGGCCGUUAUAUGCCACCUAUUAAAGGUCGCGCCCGAUGGGGCUGUGAUAUGCCACCUGAUAAAGGUCGCGCCCAGUGGGGCCGUUAUAUGCCACCUAUUAGAGGUCGCGCUCGAUGGGGCCGUGAUAUGCCACCUGGUAAAGGUCGCGCCCAGUGGGGCCGUUAUAUGCCACCUAUUAGAGGUCGCGCCCGAUGGGGCCGUGAAUUGCCACCUAUUAAAGGUCGCGCCGAGUAGGGCCGUAGUUGAGAGCAAUGAUUGAUUUGCUAGAAUGACAUGUAAUCGGCCGAGUCGAUUGAUCGCUGAGACGAUCCAAGUGGUUGAAUUGUUUUGAUAAUGUGAUUGAGCCAUGGUUGUUUGGUUAUCAUAAUUGCACGUGGUUGGGUUAUAUAAAUUGUGCUAACCUGCAGAUGAAGGCUGAGGCGAGGUAAGUCUUCUGUGUGAUGUGGCUAGGCCACCCGGGGCGUAUUUUCUUUCUAAUAGGGGUUUAGGGGGUUGAACUUGCUGAGACGUGGUCUCAGUGGUUAUUGAAUAACCAUUUCAGGUCCCUGAUGGACGGAGCGGCCAGAUAGCUUUGGUUGGCCUUGAAGAGUUGGAGAAGUGAAGUCAUAAGGAUUGGAGAUCGUGUACGUCUUGUAGGUCGUAGGAUAAUCUCUUUUUAAGAGCCAGUCUUUUGUAGACUUUUGGCCGUAGACCUCUGUUUGUAAUUUCGUUGAUUUACG
This 1698-nucleotide long non-coding RNA is filed under the name Eucalyptus grandis. RNAcentral describes it as "long non-coding RNA (EGRA_LNC007534)". Lineage: Eukaryota; Viridiplantae; Streptophyta; Magnoliopsida; Myrtales; Myrtaceae. The record is from RNAcentral.